This 837-nucleotide long non-coding RNA is filed under the name Ananas comosus (pineapple). RNAcentral describes it as "long non-coding RNA (ACOM_LNC039094)". The record is from RNAcentral. Lineage: Eukaryota; Viridiplantae; Streptophyta; Magnoliopsida; Poales; Bromeliaceae.
UUCUUCUUCUUCUUCCCCUACUCUUCUUAAUUAAUUUUUAUUUUCUUUGCUAUCAAGUAGUUGAUUCUGCAAAAGGGUUCAAGAAGUAUGCUAUAUGUCUUUGUUGAUUAAUGUGUUGUUUGGAUUCACUUGAUCUUUGGAAACAAAAUAACAAGAGAUAAUAAUUAAGGUAGAAUAAUUUGGCCUCAUGUAGUAUUUUCACUUUAUUGUUGAUAAUUGAGCAUCUAAAUCAAUGAUCAAUACUAUGAAAGAUAAUUAAGGAUACUAGUCAAAUGAUGUCAAAAAGUUAUAAAAUUUAGUUUCCAAAUACUUUUUCUAGUGUAGAUCAAGUCUACCGGAGCCGAUCGUUGAUUUAAAAACCGUAUCAUUAAAAAACAACUUGUUAGCACGGAGGCCUCCGUACUAUCGAUAGUAUACCAAUCUAGCUCCAUAUAAUGGUACGGGCAAUAAACAGAAUUCAUUUCAACAAAUUUUAUAUAUGCUGGAAAUGAAUAGUACAAUUUUAAAGGAAAAAAUAAUUAGCAUACAAUUUUAAACUGAGUUAAUAAAGUAAUUUGAAUAGUUUCUUGAAAUUAAAAGAUCAUUUUUUUUUGAUUAAACAGGGGUAUACCCUAUUUUAACAAAGUCAGAACUGAGAGUAUAGGAGCAGUCUAGUAAGGCGAAAAAACAGAACGGCAAGAACAGCAUGGGUUGAUCGCAAUCAAGAUCUAGGAGCAGAAACCCAGAAACCAAAAAAACCAAAAACCAAAAUCAAAGCCCCAAAUCAAACCAAAACCAAACCAAAAUCAAACCAAAAACCAAAACCAAAAGAUCAUUUUUAAUAUUGAUAAAAUUAGA